GCGGACGUGGUGGAAUUGGUAGACACACCAGAUUUAGGUUCUGGCGCCGCAAGGUGUGAGAGUUCGAGUCUCUCCGUCCGCA
RNAcentral lists this transfer RNA (82 nucleotides) under Ectopseudomonas oleovorans. RNAcentral's name for it is "Pseudomonas oleovorans tRNA_Leu_TAG". It matches the Rfam family "tRNA". From Rfam's summary of the family: Transfer RNA (tRNA) molecules are approximately 80 nucleotides in length. RNAcentral also lists the same sequence under 10 other names. Lineage: Bacteria; Pseudomonadati; Pseudomonadota; Gammaproteobacteria; Pseudomonadales; Pseudomonadaceae. The record is from RNAcentral.